Long non-coding RNA from Neofelis nebulosa (Clouded leopard), 1295 nucleotides. RefSeq lists it as uncharacterized. The record is from RefSeq and is a predicted model, not a curated record. The transcript has 6 exons. NCBI's taxonomy places the organism in Eukaryota, Metazoa, Chordata, Mammalia, Carnivora, Felidae.
UUUCUGAGAGGCUCAAAGCGCUUGCGCCGACCCCUUCUCCCACAGUCUUUGUGCGGAAAGAAGGGCUUCGCGCGUGCGCGGCGGGUAGUGGGACUGUAGAGUCCCGCUAAGGGGCGCCAGAGGCGUCAGGAUCGCUGGUGAAUCAUAGUACGCCGCUCCUCGACCAGCUUCUACUUCAGACACUUAAACUUCCAAGACAGCUUCCUUUUACGAUAUGCAAAAAUCAAGGAGAAAGGAAUCCAAGCACAAUAAAGGAAGCCAUCAAACCACAAGGGAAGAGAGAAGAAAGAGAAGAAGAAAGGAACAGAAGAACUACAAAAGCAACCAUAAUACAAGUAACAAAAUGGCACUCCCUGUGACCUGGAUCUUUCAUAAGGAAAGGAAGGCCCAUGUCAUGUCACUGAUGCUCCUUCUACAGUGUUGAUCACCAGGCUCAAGACAUGCCUUCCCCAGGUGAUUUAUAUCUUUUGACCAUCUUCACCCAUUUCAUCCAUUCCCCAUGGCUACCACACCUCUGGCUACCACAAAUCUGUUUGCUGUGUCUGCCCUCACUUCCUCAGCCAUUCUGCAGGGCAAGACAGAGUUCACCAGCAAUUAGCUGCCCCACAGAGAUGAGAGCCCAGCCCCUGGGAGGGGUUGUGUCCAGCAGGUACAUUGGAAGACUGAUUUCCAAGCCUUACCCUGCCCUUGUCUUCGUGUCCCUCUGGUCUUCUGAUACCUGCAGGUCCUGGUCCUUUAUUUCCCUGGUGUUUAUUGGAUGUCUUCUGUGUGCCAGGCACUGUGUUAGUGGAGGACAUGGGGCCCCUGCUUUCUGGAACUCUCCUUCUGGGGUGGCAUCCAGACAGACAGAAGAAUGUGUCAGUUAAGACGUACUAGGAACCCCAAGGAUAAUUGGGUGACGGAUGGGACAGAGACUAGGAACCCCAAGGAUAAUUGGGUGACGGAUGGGACAGAGACAGAUGAGAAUGGUGACUUUGAUACAGAGCCACUGUCUCUGGUGCAGGGAGCCAGGGAGAGGUCCUAAGAGGGCACCCCCAGGAACUAUUGCCCCUGAGUGCAGAGACUGGGCUUCUUUGAGCAAAGCUGGAGGGCAGCUGGGGUGAGCAGAGGGUGAAGAAGUCAGAAGGACAGGUAGAGGCAGAUCACAUACCCUGGACACCAUGUAGGGAGCAUGGGUUUUAUUUUUUGAGUGAAAUAUUAAAGAAAGUAAAACAUCUGAAUGUUUUAUAUGGGUUACAUAUUGAAAUGAUACUAUGUUGGUUAUUUUAGGUUAAAAAAUAUAUUGUUCAAAUUAA